UAUAAGUACAGUGUAGGUUUCCGUGUUCAGAUAGUUCGUCUUAUUUAAAAAAAUAUUAUUUUUUUUCUUAUUACAUAAUAAAACAUAAAUAAUACUUUAUGUGAGACUAUUCUUUCUAAAUUUUUUAUAAAUUAUUUAAAUAAGACGAAUAAUGAAACGUUGAGUGCGUAAAACCACGACGGCGCGUAUA
Molecule: microRNA precursor, 190 nt
Organism: Oryza sativa Indica Group (long-grained rice)
Lineage: Eukaryota; Viridiplantae; Streptophyta; Magnoliopsida; Poales; Poaceae
Rfam family: MIR812 microRNA precursor family
Source: Rfam